Molecule: ribosomal RNA, 290 nt
Filed under: uncultured Microgenomates group bacterium
Lineage: Bacteria
Description: partial 16S ribosomal RNA
Rfam family: Bacterial small subunit ribosomal RNA
Source: RNAcentral
UGGGCGAAAGCCUGACGGACCAACACCGCGUGGAGGGAUGAAGCCCUUCGGGUUGUAAACUGCUUUUCUGGGGGAAGAACAUGCUUACGGGUCCCCAGUAAUAAGCACCGGCUAAUUAUGUGCCGGCAGCCGCGGUAAUACGAAUGGUGCUAGCGGUACCCGGAUAUUAUUGGGCGUAAAGCGUCCGCAGGCGGCGAACUAAGUCCGCUAUUAAAUCACCCAGCUCACCUGGGGUAUAGUGCCCGAAACUGUUGUGCUAAAUACUUGCAUAGGUAAUUGGAAUUCGGUCU